AACGCACAUUGCGCCCCGUGGUAUUCCGCGGGGCAUGCCUGUCCGAGCGUCGUCUCCCCCCCUCAAGCCCGGCUUGGUGUUGGGCCGCGCCGCCCGCGGCCGGCCCCAAAGGCAGUGGCGGCGCCGCCCGGCCCUCAGCGCAGUACGUCUCUCGCUCGAGGGCCCGGCAGGCGCCCGCCAGAACCCCAACCCCACCGUGGACCUCGGAUCAGGCAGGGACACCCGCUGAACUUAA
This 235-nucleotide unclassified non-coding RNA is filed under the name uncultured fungus. Its description in RNAcentral is "partial contains 5.8S ribosomal RNA, internal transcribed spacer 2, and large subunit ribosomal RNA". The stretch from base 1 to 52 matches the Rfam family "5.8S ribosomal RNA", at positions 103 to 154 of the family's 154-position model. The record is from RNAcentral. Lineage: Eukaryota; Fungi.